Long non-coding RNA from Ornithodoros turicata, 462 nucleotides. RefSeq lists it as uncharacterized. The record is from RefSeq and is a predicted model, not a curated record. Lineage: Eukaryota; Metazoa; Arthropoda; Arachnida; Ixodida; Argasidae. The transcript has 3 exons.
UCUGAAUCAAGGUGUAGCAACCUGCACACACCGGGGAAAGAACAUCCACCUAAACGGCGCAAAGGUCUGCUUUCAUGUUCACAGGUGACUUCCUCAGCGGAGCCGGAAACCCCUUAGCUGUUUGAGCCUGAUGCCCUCGUCCUUGACGCACAUACAAGUGUGCCCAUACCCUCGGAGGAGCCUGCAUAGCGAGGACUCUGUCCCAGUGGCAAAUGGAGCAGUUCUUUCACAAAGAAAGCAGAUUUCCGCCAGAAGACCAACAAGCAGUUUUCUUGAAAUAGUACCAAUUACUUGUCGUUUUUCUAAUUGCAAAAUAUUGGGCAUGCUACGUCAGUACUGGGGUUUUUUUGCUUCUUUCCAGUUACCUCAACUGGUGACUUCAAGCUUACGUAACACAAUAAUAUAAGAGGGCAUGAAGCAGGCGAACUGGUGUCGUGAGAUUGUGUCCCCCAGUCUUAGGGA